AACCUCCGCAAUGUGAGAAAUCGCGACGGGGGGAUCCCAAGUGCCAUUCUUAACGGGAUGGCUUUUCAUUAGUGUAAAGAGCUUUUGGAAUAAGGGCUGGGCAAGACCGGUGCCAGCCGCCGCGGUAACACCGGCAGCUCUAGUGGUAGCAGUUUUUAUUGGGCCUAAAGCGUCCGUAGCCGGUUUAAUAAGUCUCUGGUGAAAUCCUGUAGCUUAACUGUGGGAAUUGCUGGAGAUACUAUUAGACUUGAGACCGGGAGAGGUUAGAGGUACUCCCAGGGUAGAGGUGAAAUUCUGUAAUCCUGGGAGGACCGCCUGUUGCGAAGGCGUCUAACUGGAACGGUUCUGACGGUGAGGGACGAAAGUUAGGGGCGCGAACCGGAUUAGAUACCCGGGUAGUCCUAACUGUAAACGAUGCGGACUUGGUGUUGGGGUGGCUUUGAGCUGCUCCAGUGCCGAAGGGAGCUGUUAAGUCCGCCGCCUGGGAAGUACGGUCGCAAGACUGAAACUUAAAGGAAUU
This 520-nucleotide ribosomal RNA is filed under the name uncultured bacterium. Its description in RNAcentral is "bacterial SSU rRNA". It matches the Rfam family "Archaeal small subunit ribosomal RNA", at positions 345 to 866 of the family's 1478-position model. The record is from RNAcentral.